Molecule: long non-coding RNA, 9273 nt
Organism: Bubalus bubalis (water buffalo)
Lineage: Eukaryota; Metazoa; Chordata; Mammalia; Artiodactyla; Bovidae
Exons: 3
Source: RefSeq, a predicted model, not a curated record
GGUUGCUAUGCCCCCCUCCAGGAGAUCUUCCUGAUCCAGGGAUCAAACCCACAUCUCUUACAUCUCCUGGAUCGGCAGGAGGGUUCUUUAUCACUAGCACCACUUGGGAAGCCCACCCACUCAUGUACAUAUUGUCUAUAGCUGCUUUCAGGCUAUUGGGUUGGCCAAAAAGUUCUUUUGGGCUUUUCCAGAAGAUGUUACGAAAAAAGUCAAAUGAAUUUUUUGGCCAACCCAAUACAGACUCAUAGUAGUUGUGACAGUGGAUGAACUGAAAGCCUAAGAUAUUUACUAUUUGAUCCAUGUCUUAGGGCACGGGCUUCAGAAUUAGACCACAUUGGUUCAAAUCUAUGCUCAUUUAUUAUCCAAAUGGCCCUGGGCAAGUUGCAUAACUUCUCAAAGCUUUAUCCUUAUGAAUGUAAAAUGCUGAUAGUAUCUAUUUUACAGGGUUUCCUGAGAUUAGAUUAAACCACUAAUAUGAAAUGCACAGAGUUGAUAAAUCCAAAUACUUUAUAAGGAGUCCGCAGUGGGUGCCUCAUCCCUGACUCAUAGGUUCAAGAUCUUAGCAAAAGGCUUCCUUGGUCUAAGUCUCAGUUUCCCUAUAUGUUAAAUGGGGAUAAUUAUUUAUGAAACUAAAAUGAGAUAUGCUGUGUGGCUUCUAGGAAGCACAUUAAAUGGAAGUUGCUGCUUUUAAUUUCAUCAAGUUACCCUCCAUCAUCUCCUUUGUAGGGGCCAUCUGCAAGUCCUUCAGGAUCUAGGAGAAAAAAUCCAACAUCUGUCUGUAUAUCCAUGUGCCACUGUCCUGCUGCUGGCUCCCGGAGCAUACUCCAGCUGACGGUGCCUGGAAGGGAGUGCGUAUUAAAAAACCUCCCUUCCCCACAGCUUGGCAUCUGGCCUAAACUCACUGCUACCUGAAAGAGUGCCAACCUGUUCAGCACAUUUGAAUUUGCAAAUAAUCUCUUAUUUACUCUCAGAGUAUCCACAAAGCUGAAGCUUGUCAUGGGUUUUUAUUAUGUGGUAAUAAGUACUGUUGGGGAAGAUCUAUCUUUGCAAAGCCCAAUUAGUGUAUUUAUUUAUUAGGCUCUUGUAUCAUCAGGUAAGAGUAAUAAAUAAGAGGGUCAUUAUAGGAUUCUGCCCACUGAACCCAGUUUGUGCAUUUGCUGAUGGGCAGAGGUGGAUGGCAAAUGGCAAGAAUUUGGGGUGGGACGGUGGUGGUCCGGGCUUGGGAAACGUUGAUUUUGUUGGACUUUGUCAUGCCUCUUGGCUGUGAUGACAAUUCACUUGAGUUACAUUGCAUUAAAAAAAAAAAAGUGGCGAGAGUCCAGUGGUUGAAAUGCAGACGCCCACAUGUAUUUAUAUUUGCAGUGCCUGGGCCAUGUGUGCGCUGAUACAGCGAACGAGAAAGUUGUGGAACUGAAAAUAACAUAUGUCUGUCUGAAGUGCCAGAGGAAAUUGUAGCAUGGGCGAGAAGGGGAAGGGUCCAGAUUUAGAGAUGGGGGAAGAAAUAUGCUCCUUGUUCAGCCGUGGUGUUUAUACACAAGCCCUCAUUUCUGCUCACACAUAAUGAACAGCCACAGAACUGACGGGAAAACAAAUGCAAAACUGGGCAAGUUGAUUGUUUCUUCUAGAGCUGGUUGGAGGAAUGGAGUUCUGGAUUGGAAAUAAAGUUCUGGCAGAUUGAACUUUGACCCCCACCCCCAUCCCCUUUUUGCGGUUUUCUGAGUUCCUAGGAUCUGGUUCGUGAGAUCGAUGCUGUGAUUGUGGUUGAAACAGGUCAAGGUGGACAUGGUUAGAAAGGAACCCAUCCUUCACCACAAACCUCCUUGACUUAAAAAUGAUUAAAAUAAAAAUUUCCAAGUCAAUUACUUUCAGUCCCCUGAGAGCCAGAGGAUCAUUUAGGGUUUUUCUGGAGUCAGGGACCCCUAAGAUCACAUUUCUCUUCUGGCUGGGGUGUUAUUUUUAAGCCUUGGUUACCAGCCUCCGACUCUUAGUUCCAUGUGUCAAUAUGUAUAAAUAGAUGUGACUAAAUUAAAAAAGAAAUAAUAGGUUGAAUUCACAUCUUUGUUUUUUUUCCAUCUUCAUGAAAACAAGUAACAGGUUUGACUUCAUUUUCCACAUUUCUCUUUGCCGUUUUGACAUUAUCAGAUGCAGCCCAGUUCACAUCUGAGUCUGACGUUAUCAGACUCAGAGUACAUUUGAUCUUUGCAAACAAAACUCCAUAGAAAGACUCAGUCUCUGACACCUCUCAAUGGUUCUGUGACUCAUUGCCUUCAGAGCACCCCUGAACCCCAACCUCAGAUCCAGCUGGAAACCUCCCACCAUGGCCCUUGGCUUGAAACUAGACCCUCAAGAUUUUAACAUACAUGAUGGCCAAGCCACUUACAUCUGACUUCCUCACCUCAGUGUUUUCAUCUGCAGAAUGGAUGUAAUACUCUCGCCACCUGCCAAGAUCCAGGAGAGGAUGGGAGGAGUUGGAGAAACACUCUUGGUGGGACUCAGAGUAGCUGCUGAAGUGAAAUAGAGCCCGAUGGCCACUCAGCAAUUGUUUUCUGUUUCUUUCUCAUCUUCCUGGUUUAAUGUGACCAGCACCUGGUUUUCAUGCCUUUAUCUCCCUUCUGUUCAGAAGUGAGUUCAGUUUGUCAGGCAUGCUGGUCCCAGAGACCUGAGCCUGGGGGCUGAGCUAUCACAGCUUGAACCAGAUGCCUCCCCUUGGUUUGGUAUGUUACACCUCAUGACAACUGCCAGAAAGACACUGCUGGUCCCAUUUCACAGAUUGGGAGACUGAUGUGCAGCUGCUCCUUUCACACCAGUUGAAACUUAACUAUAACACUUGCGGCAGUUUAAAAAAAUACGGUUGUUACAACCAAAGACAUAUGCAGCUGUCUGUCUGUGGAGAAGGAUGAGGCAGGCAGGCAGAAGGCAGGGCGUUCAGAUGAGGGUCUUGCGAAGAAAGCACUGGAUCCUUCCACAUCCUGGGUAGUGGGUCUAAUAGUGUCCCCUUACCUUGAAAAAAAAAAUUGUGUCUGCCUAGAGGUCAGAAUAUGCCGUUGUUUGGAAAUAGAGUAAUGAACAUGUAAUUAGAUAAGGCUCUUGAGAGGAAAUCAUCCUGGAUUUAGAACAAGCCCUAAGUCCAAUGACUGGUGUCCUUACAAGAAGAGGAGAGGGACACAGACACAGAGGGAAGAAGGCCAUAAGACGGGGGCAGAGACUGGAGCCAGAGGAUGCUGGGAGCCACCAGGAGCUGGAAGAGGCAAGGAAGGAUGCUCCCCUGGGGCCUCUGGAGGGAGCAUGACCCUGCUGACACCUCGAUUUUGUACUUCUGGCUUCCAGAAUGGUCAUUUACGUGAAAAUUGUGAGGAACUUCCUGCUGGAUAUUCCAGGCUUCUUCUAGGAACAAAGAGGAGCCAGGUGAAAAUGCAAAAGUCAGACUGUCCCUUCUCAGACCCUAAUGUCCCUCUCUUUACUGUGAACAUGAGCUGGUCGCUAUCCCACCGGAACUCAGAGGGCUUAAGUCUCUGGUCAAGGUCAUGGAGCUUACUCUGAGGUCAGAAUCAAGACCCAAAUUCAGCCAGCUUGGCUCCAAAGCUGAUAUACUUUUGUUGAGCUCUUGCCCUGUUCUGCAACUCUCCCAGGAGAUGACAAAAUUUUGUAGAGUCCUUUGGUGGAAGGUGUCCAUCAGGUUUCCAUGAAAUAUCAAUUAUCAGACCAGACCAACCCUGAGUUGAGAGGCUGGGGAGGGUAGCAAAAUCCUCUUAGAAGCAGGAGACUGCCUUCUAGAACCAGUACUCCAGUUGACCUUGGGUGUGACCUUAUAUAAACCAUUUACCUUCUCUGACUCCUGGUUUCCUUAUUUGUAGGAUUCAUUUAUCCAGUAAAUAUUUGUUGGACACUGCAUGCUGAAUGCCAGACAGUGCUAUAGGUACCAAGGUUACAGCUGUGAACAAACCAAAGUUCCUGACCCUAUGGAGUUGACUCUGAACUAGAUGGUCCACGAUGCUAGGGAGGAGUAGGGCCAAGGGGAGGGAGAGGGGCAUGUUGUUGGGAUAUAGAAUAAGUUCAAGGCCAGUCUUUGGCUAAGAGCAGUUGAUCAUUGGGCAGGGGAAAACAGACUCCCACUGUGAAACCAUUGGAGACACAAAUUGCCUCUAAAGAUGUCAAGGACCUGCAUCAUUUGGACCCCUUUAUCCUCUCUGGCCUCCUCGAGGGCCAAUCAUCUUUCUACUCACCAGCCAAGUCCUUUCCAGCCUCUCAGUUUGUAUGCCCCAGAAGCAGGCUCUGAGGUUAGCAGUUUGAGUCCGAGCAGUUGAUGUGGGAGGUGAUCUUAGAAAGCAACAGAGGCAGAGCAGAGCGGUAAGGCUGAGAAAGAAAGGAAAGGAAGCCAAGGGUGUCUCAUUACAGCAGCUCAUUGCUGAGAGCAGUUGGAGCUCAGUCCUGAUGGGGAAUUAUAAGGAUGAGGAAGCUGGAGUAUUUACCCAUCAAUUCCUAUAGGGCGUUGGCUGAAGGCUACUCCUAGGGACAUUCAUUUCCUGGCAUUUCUGAUCUGUUCAAGGCACCAUCCAACAGAGAGCCCUCAGGCAGAGACUUUUGGGGGUUUUCAGUAGAGCACUGUAGAUGUGUGCUGGAAAGGUAAGUGCUGAUGUGGAAUAUGGGAGGGCACUGUAAGACCUCAGGACCUUUGCACUUACUGCUCCUUCGAUUGGAGCAGCCUUCUCCCCAGGUCUUUGCAAGGCUGGCAUCUUAGCCUUCUGCUCUUAGCUCAGAGUCUCCUCCUCUGUAAAUUAGCAUCCUAUGGCACUAGGACUCUCCAUCAUGUAUUCUGAUUUCUUUCUUUUGCAGUGCAUGUCACAAUCAGAAAUCAGCUUCUGUGCUUGUUUACAAGCAUUUCUGUGAUCUCCAGUGCCUAGAGAAGCAUGUCCCAUGGUUGCACUUCCAGAACUAUUUUCUGCACACACAUGUGCCUUGCCAUCCACAGCCAGCUAAAUACAAACAUAACUUUGACUCCCACUUCCGGACUUGUGACCAGAUGAGGGAGUAAAGAUUGAAUUUGGAUUAUGGGAGACAUGAAGAUGCUGCUCAGGUUUUCAGUUUAGAAGAUCAAAAGCUGCCAGAAAUUGUUUCAGGAGAAAAAUAAAUCUCUGAGAAGUUGGAUUUGAAAUUCCGAGGGGCCGGCGCUUGUGUCCGCUGUGUCAGGAGUCAUGUAAUGAGAAGGGCUCUAACUGUGGCGUCUGCCCUCUUUGUGUCUCUCCUCCUCUCCUAGGGAAGCCCUGCCUCAGCCUCUACUAUCUGCUUUCUCUUAUGAAAUCAUAGAAUAUUGGGCCUAAAUUAAAUUUAUGGUAAAUCUGAGCAGGCAGAAUCAUUUCCCAAAGAGAAUGAGUAAAACAAAUGACUGCCAAUCUUUGGAAAAACCCUCUGUGUAUUGGAGCUGAGGACUCAGAUUAUGGAAAAUUUUGAAUGAAGGAUUCAAUUUUCUUUUGACGUCUGAAAUGUACGUCACAUCUGUUUCAUCACCCCUUUUCUAUCAUAAAGGAAGUGCCUGAACCAAUUCCUUAUGCUGUUUCUCCUCUCUGCCAAGAGGUCAAGAGUUCAACAACCAUCUCUUUAUACUUUCCUAUGUGCCUAAGGAUGUUUGUGCUUUGGGCUCCAAGAGGACUUGGGGACCUUAGAAUGCUAAUAGAUGGCAUUUGGGGAGAACAGAAGAUCUCAGAAACCCCAUCCGUAGAGGUCGGAUACCUGGUAGGAGAUAGAAAUCAAAGAAGGGGAGAAAGGUCCAAUAUUGCCUGUGUUGAUGCUCUGCAGUAAAACAAUAGGGACUGGAUUCAAAGAAGACGAUGACCACAGCAUCUUCACGACACACCCAUUGGAGCUGAAUCCUGCAGCUGGGUCUUUCCCAGAUUUCCCAACUCAGCUUCAUCCUUGGAUUACUCAUAAAUAUUGAAAUGAUAAAAUUUCAAAUAUACACAAAAUUGAUUAAUGGCAUAAGAAAAAAAAAGACAAAAGAAAAAAUUAGUACCAUCCACCAUCCUACUCACUCUGCAAAACAAACAGCAACACUUUGGUAUUAUUUUUUAUUUUGUGUACGAUAUAUUAGUAUGUAUACAUUUAUGCAAUCAUAAAUAAAACAGGUAUGUGAAAGUGAAAGUGUUAGUCACUCAGUCAUGUCAAUUCUCUGUGACUCCAUGACUGUAGCCUGCCUCUGUCCAUGGAAUUCUCUGGGCAAGAAUACUGGAGCAAGUUCCCAUUCCCUUCUCCAGGGGAUCUUCCUGACUCAGGGAUUGAACCUGGAUCUCCUGCCUUGCAGGCAGAUUUUUUAUCAUCUGAGCCACCAGGGAUGCCCAUAAACAGGUAUUUGCACAUGUUUACAGGAUUUCCAGGUGGCGCUAGUGGUAAGGAACCCGACUGCCAGUGCAGGAGAUGCAAGAGACAUGGGUCUGGGCUGAGAAGAUCCCCUGGAAGAAGGCACAGCAACCCACUCCAGUAUUCUUGCCUUGAGAAUCCCAUGGACAGAGGAGCCUGGCAGGCUACUGUCCUUGGGGUUGCAAAGAGUCGGAAAUGACUGAAAUUACAUAGCACACAUGUACUUAUAUACACAUUUGAACAAUAAAUAUGUCAUGUACAUACUUGUCUUGAUAAAUAAGCAAGCAUUUUAUAGAUGUCUAUUUUGUGAUUUGCUUGUUCUCCUGUGAAAAUCUUUUGUGUCCAUAAAUACAUAUUUACAUCUAUAUAAUUAAGUUUUGGGGGAUAUAAUUUUAGACAGUGAAAAUGUUGCAAAAUAGUACAGAGAGCUUCUGUAUGGCCUUUGCCAAGCUUCCCCUGACGUUAAUAUCUUGCACAACCAUGACAUGAUGAUCAAAACUCAGAAAUUAAUAUUACUGAACUACAGACUUUAUUUGGACUUCUCCAGUUUUUUCCCUAUUAUUAUCCCUUUCUGUCCCCAGGGCCAGUUCAGGAUCCUACAUUGCAUUUAAUUUUGUCUUAGUGUCUCAUCUGUGACAGUUCUUCAUCUUCUUAUUUUUUGUGACUUUGACCCUACUGAAGCAUACCGGUCAGUUGUUUUGCAGAUGGCCCCUCAAUUUGGGUUUUUCUGAUGUUUUCUUAUGAUUGGAUUGAAGUUGUAUUUUUUUGGUAAGAACAUCCCAUGUGUUCCUCACCCAUUUAUCUUCAGGGGCUACAUGCUGUUGUUAUGUCCCCUUACUGGUGAUGUUAACCUUGAUUGGUUGGUUAAAGUGAUGUCUGCUGGAUGUCCUUCCAAUGUAAAGUCAUUUUUCCCUUUGCAAUGAAUGAAUCUUGGGGGAGAUACUUUGGGAGUUGGCAAAUAUCCUUUUUUGCUCAAUGUUAGUUUGGUGAUUUCAGCAUCCACCAGUGGAUAUAAACUGCAACAGUUAUUACUGUGAUAUUUUAAUGAUGAUUUUAUAUUUGCUUCAUUCCUUCAUUUAUUAUUCUUCAGUACAGAUGCCAGUCCUUCCUUCUUCCUCCCUCUCUUUCCCCCCACACCAACCCCUGUCCCUCCAUUCCUUCCUUCCUUUUCCCUUCUGUUUCUUCUUUCCUUUCCUGUUGAUUAUUCAUAUUAGUAUGGCCCCAUAGAUAUUUGUUCUAUUUUAUGGUUAUAAUCCAAUGCUACCUUUAUUUUGUUGCUCAAAUUGUUUUGGUUUGAACCUUGGGAGUGCUUUCAGGUUGGUUUCAAUGCCUUUUCAUCAGGUCAGCCUCCCACCUCCCCAAACUUCUUUUGAGCACUUUCUUACUUUCUGGCACCUGGAGGUGUGUAUUUUCUAUGACCAGUCUUAGAAUCAACUGGUUCUCCCAGGAGCUUUAGUUCAUUUUACUGGAGAGUGGUAUUUAGAAAUAAAGAUCUGGCUAGAUGUCCUCACUUGCUUCUAAGCCCAUUCAGCAGACAAAGCUUGGAGAUAUAUAUUUGGUACACAACACACACAUUUAUUUUCAUUUCUUAAAAAUAUCCCUUGAGUUUGUGCUGAUACCUCUUGUUCAAAUCCAACACUGCAGGGCUCAUUCUAGCUUUCUCACUUUCCUUAUUUUUAACUUCCUCAUACAGAAGCCAGGCUCUCGUAAUCUACAAUAUGUUGACUUAACUGUUCAACUAGUCUAUACACAUAAAGCAGUUUCAGAAUAGCUAACUCUUCCUGUAACAAAAAUAUAGUAGUUGCGUACAAUUCUUUUGUCUUUGACCUAAAAAUAUCCAGUCAACAUUUUGUUUCCUGAAGUAGGUUAGUUGUUUUUUUCUCACCCCCUUCAGUUCAUUUGUAAUACAGUCAGCUUGACUUGUUACGCUAGGUCUUCUGGUUGAGGAUACCCUCCACAUGCUGAGUUUUUGAAGUUACAUGCAGUAAAAUUCACUCUUUAUGGAGCAAAGUUCUUUGGUUUUUGAUAAAUUCAUGGAGUUAUAUGUCCAUCAUUCUAAUGUCAUAUACAACAGGUCAUCAUCUCCAGCAAUGUCUUUACACAGUCCCUUUAUGGUGGUCCCACCAAUCUGUUUCCAGCUCUAAAAUUUUACCUUUUUCAUAAUGUCAUAUGAAUGGAAUCAUACAAUAUGUCACUCUUUGGGUCUGACCUCCAUCACUUAACAAGUGCAUUUAAAAUUUGCACGCCUUCUUGUGUGCAUUAAGAGUUAUUUUCUUUACAUUAUUGAAGAGUAUUCCAUAUUAUGGAGAAGGAAAUGGCAACUCACUCCAAUAUUCCUGUGAAGAAUUCCAUGGACAGAGCCUGGUGGGCUACAGUCCAUGGGGUCACAACAAGCUGGACAAGACUGAGCAACUAACAUUUUCACUUUCUUUCAUUCCACAUUAUGGAUGUACCACAGGUUGAUUUUUUUUCUACUUACUAGUUGAAAUAUAUAUGGGUGAUUUCCAGUUUUGGCAAUUACAAAUAAAACUACUCUAAGUAUUUAUGUACAGGUGUUUUGUUUUUUUUUUUUUUGGUGUUUAGAUGUUAAAUUUUAUUUCUCUUGGAUAAAUACCUAGGUAUGGAAAUGCUCAACCAUGUUGUGUGCAUAUUUAACUUUUGUAAGAAACUGUCUGUUUUCCACAGUGGUUGUACCACUUUGAACUCCCACCACUGAUGUAUGGAAGUUCCAAUUCUCUGAAUCCUCACUUAUGCUUGGUAUUUUCAUUUCAAAAUUUUAAAAAUUGUGGCCAUUCUAUUAGACAUAUAAGUGGCAUCUCACUGUGGUUUUAACUUGAAUUUUCAUGGUCCCAUCACUUGAUGGAAAAUAGAAGGGGAAACAGUGGAAACAGUGUCAUACUUUAUUUUUGGGGGCUCCAAAAU